GACCCAGACUCCUACGGGAGGCAGCAGUGGGGAAUAUUGCACAAUGGGGGAAACCCUGAUGCAGCGACGCCGCGUGAGUGAAGAAGUAUUUCGGUCUGUAAAUCUCUAUCAGCAGGGAAGAAAUAGCGACCUUUGGGUCGCCAGACGGUACCUGAUUAAGACGCCCCGGCUAACUACGUGCCAGCAGCCGCGGUAAUACGUAGGUGGCAAGCGUUAUCCGGAUUUACUGGGUGUAAAGGGAGCGUAGACGGCAGCGCAAGUCUGAGGUGAAGUGCCGGGGCGUAACCCCGGAACUGCUUUGGAAACUGGUCAGCUAGAGUGCAGGAGAGGUAAGUGGAAUUCCUAGUGUAGCGGUGAAAUGCGUAGAUAUUAGGAGGAACACCAGUGGCGAAGGCGGCUUACUGGACUGUAACUGACGUUGAGGCUCGAAAGCGUGGGGAGCAAACAGGAUUAGAUACCCGAGUA
This 465-nucleotide ribosomal RNA is filed under the name uncultured bacterium. Its description in RNAcentral is "bacterial SSU rRNA". It matches the Rfam family "Bacterial small subunit ribosomal RNA", at positions 328 to 792 of the family's 1533-position model. The record is from RNAcentral.